UUUUGAGGUUUCCUAUUUCCACUAGGAAUAGAACUUUUGGAGAGUCUACAAAUAUAGUUGUAAUUCCUACUUUUCAAUAGAGUUGAUAAUUUAUUGAACUUGGCAAGUCCUUGCUUUGCAGAUUGUGUGAUGCAAUUCAUCUUUGGUGUGAUGCUUAAGAAACCCUAGAUGUGUUGCUUAGGCAAUUUUGAGUGCAAUGCCUAAAUAUUUAUUCUUUAUUGUGGGACUUGGUCCUACAUCAAAGCCAUGAAAUGUUUUUGACAUUAGAUUGUUUGAUGCUUGAGUUAAAUAAUGAAUCAAGGAAAUUGAUUGACUCAUAUCUAAUCGGUGAAAUCAACGGUGAAUUACUUUAAUCACAUAUCAUACAGAAUUAAUAUAUUCAUUUAAUAGAUUUAUAUACUUUAGGAGGUGAGUCUUAUUGAUGUGCUCAAUUGCAUUCUCGUGCAGGACAAAAAAAUUUCUUCGCUGCUAAUGUUGUCAUCAGUGAUUGAAACUAUUUCAGUUGUCAACGACAAAUUACAACAUUGUGUUUACUGGGGUCCAGCUCAUGAAUGGAAAAAUAUCAAGAAGCUUGAAGUAUGGCAGCUGGGGUGUGUCUCAACUGGGAGGAGGAUGCCCAAGUGAAUAGAAACACUUCUGGUAACUCUUUGGCAUUUGAAGAUCGCACAACUCAAUUCUUCCCUCCAGCUCCAAGAGUUCCUCGAAUGCCUGGACUAGUACCCAGAGAUGCUGGUUUAACUGACGAUGUUCAAGAUUCAUUUGUAGAGCUCUCAAAUUCUUCAAAGCAAUGUUUGGAUAGCCUUUGCAGUGGAGAUAAAGAUGGGGUUUUGUGCUUCAGUAUAUUUGGUGUCUUUCCAAUAGAAAAUAUUGUAAGCGUCCUGUCUGUUUAAAUAAAAUAUUUAGCUAUAUGGUCUGUCAUAUUUAGUAAAUGAGUCAUUUCCUUGUUCUUGCUUGUCCUACAACAGUUUUUCUUAAUAAAUGGAUUUGAUGGUAGAUUGACAGCAAAUCAGUAUUGCCUGGAAAAUUAGUGGGCUGGUUAAGGAAACAACUAUACCUAGGCGAGGUUAUGCUUGUAAAAGUUAUAGAUGUUUAUGCCAUUUCCUAGGCUAGAUUUCACUUCUAUUGGUCACUUCCACUUCAAAGAUGACGCCUCCAACUUUGAUACUGAACACUUAUCUGAAACUUUUUGUUGUUUGGCCUGAGGUUGGCCUACCUUGCAUACUUUUU
This is a long non-coding RNA of Eucalyptus grandis, 1227 nucleotides long. RefSeq lists it as uncharacterized. NCBI's taxonomy places the organism in Eukaryota, Viridiplantae, Streptophyta, Magnoliopsida, Myrtales, Myrtaceae. The record is from RefSeq and is a predicted model, not a curated record. The transcript is spliced from 3 exons.